Molecule: ribosomal RNA, 786 nt
Filed under: uncultured Algibacter sp.
Lineage: Bacteria; Pseudomonadati; Bacteroidota; Flavobacteriia; Flavobacteriales; Flavobacteriaceae
Description: bacterial SSU rRNA
Rfam family: Bacterial small subunit ribosomal RNA
Source: RNAcentral
UGGCUCAGGAUGAACGCUAGCGGCAGGCCUAACACAUGCAAGUCGAGGGGUAACAUUGUGCUUGCACAGAUGACGACCGGCGCACGGGUGCGUAACGCGUAUAGAAUCUACCUUUUGCUGCAGGAUAGCCCAGAGAAAUUUGGAUUAAUACUGCAUAGUAUACACUACUUUCAUGAGUUAUGUAUUAAAGGUUACGGCAAAAGAUGACUAUGCGUCCUAUUAGCUAGAUGGUAAGGUAACGGCUUACCAUGGCAACGAUAGGUAGGGGCCCUGAGAGGGGGAUCCCCCACACUGGUACUGAGACACGGACCAGACUCCUACGGGAGGCAGCAGUGAGGAAUAUUGGACAAUGGAGGCAACUCUGAUCCAGCCAUGCCGCGUGCAGGAUGACUGCCCUAUGGGUUGUAAACUGCUUUUAUACAGGAAGAAACAUCUCUACGUGUAGAGACUUGACGGUACUGUAAGAAUAAGGAUCGGCUAACUCCGUGCCAGCAGCCGCGGUAAUACGGAGGAUCCAAGCGUUAUCCGGAAUCAUUGGGUUUAAAGGGUCCGUAGGUGGAUAAUUAAGUCAGAGGUGAAAGUUUGCAGCUCAACUGUAAAAUUGCCUUUGAUACUGGUUAUCUUGAAUCAUUAUGAAGUGGUUAGAAUAUGUAGUGUAGCGGUGAAAUGCAUAGAUAUUACAUAGAAUACCAAUUGCGAAGGCAGAUCACUAAUAAUGUAUUGACACUGAUGGACGAAAGCGUGGGGAGCGAACAGGAUUAGAUACCCUGGUAGUCCACGCCGUAA